This 253-nucleotide ribosomal RNA is filed under the name uncultured bacterium. Its description in RNAcentral is "partial 16S ribosomal RNA". It matches the Rfam family "Bacterial small subunit ribosomal RNA", at positions 524 to 776 of the family's 1533-position model. The record is from RNAcentral.
CACGUAGGGUGCGAGCGUUAUCCGGAAUUAUUGGGCGUAAAGAGCUCGUAGGCGGUUUGUCGCGUCUGCCGUGAAAGUCCGGGGCUCAACUCCGGAUCUGCGGUGGGUACGGGCAGACUAGAGUGAUGUAGGGGAGACUGGAAUUCCUGGUGUAGCGGUGAAAUGCGCAGAUAUCAGGAGGAACACCGAUGGCGAAGGCAGGUCUCUGGGCAUUAACUGACGCUGAGGAGCGAAAGCAUGGGGAGCGAACAGG